RNAcentral lists this ribosomal RNA (472 nucleotides) under uncultured bacterium. Its description in RNAcentral is "partial 16S ribosomal RNA". It matches the Rfam family "Bacterial small subunit ribosomal RNA", at positions 28 to 507 of the family's 1533-position model. The record is from RNAcentral.
GACGAACGCUGGCGGCGUGCUUAACACAUGCAAGUCGAACGAUGAACCCGGAGCUUGCUCUGGGGGAUUAGUGGCGAACGGGUGAGUAACACGUGAGUAACCUGCCCUGGACUCUGGGAUAAGCGUUGGAAACGACGUCUAAUACCGGAUAGGACCUUGGAUCGCAUGAUCUGGGGUGGAAAGUUUUUUCGGUCUGGGAUGGACUCGCGGCCUAUCAGCUUGUUGGUGAGGUAAUGGCUCACCAAGGCGUCGACGGGUAGCCGGCCUGAGAGGGUGACCGGCCACACUGGGACUGAGACACGGCCCAGACUCCUACGGGAGGCAGCAGUGGGGAAUAUUGCACAAUGGGCGAAAGCCUGAUGCAGCAACGCCGCGUGCGGGAUGACGGCCUUCGGGUUGUAAAACGCUUUUAGUAGGGAAGAAGGGCUUCGGCUUGACGGUACCUGCAGAAAAAGGACCGGCUAACUACGUG